UACAGAGGUCUCAAGCGUUGUUCGGAUUCAUUGGGCGUAAAGGGUGCGUAGGUGGCGCGGUAAGUCGGGUGUGAAAUUUCGGAGCUUAACUCCGAAACUGCAUUCGAUACUGCCGUGCUUGAGGACUGGAGAGGAGACUGGAAUUUACGGUGUAGCAGUGAAAUGCGUAGAUAUCGUAAGGAAGACCAGUGGCGAAGGCGGGUCUCUGGACAGUUCCUGACACUGAGGCACGAAAGCCAGGGGAGCAAACGGG
Molecule: ribosomal RNA, 253 nt
Filed under: uncultured bacterium
Lineage: Bacteria
Description: partial 16S ribosomal RNA
Rfam family: Bacterial small subunit ribosomal RNA
Source: RNAcentral